RNAcentral lists this non-coding RNA (180 nucleotides) under Halobacillus halophilus. Lineage: Bacteria; Bacillati; Bacillota; Bacilli; Caryophanales; Bacillaceae. RNAcentral also lists the same sequence under 1 other name. The record is from RNAcentral.
UUAUAUUGAGUGGAUUCAGGUGCCUGAAAGGGCUUAAAACGGGAACCCGGUUAAAGGCCGGGACUGUCCUCGCAACUGUAUGUGAAUACGAAAAGGAAGUUCCACUGUGCAAAUGCACGGGAAGGGUCCUUAGUAGGAUGACGCACAAGUCAGUAGACCUGCCUGAUCCCAGUGUUUCAA